RNAcentral lists this long non-coding RNA (402 nucleotides) under Ananas comosus (pineapple). RNAcentral describes it as "long non-coding RNA (ACOM_LNC022900)". Lineage: Eukaryota; Viridiplantae; Streptophyta; Magnoliopsida; Poales; Bromeliaceae. The record is from RNAcentral.
CAUCGCGCAUCCUGACAUGAAAAUAAAAAUAAGGAAAAACUUCAAAUACCACCCUUGUGGUUUCAUACUUUUUCACUUUAGUAUCUUAUAGUUUAAAAUAUCUCAAUUUAGUAUUCUGUGGUUCAAAUACCAUCCCGUUAAUAUUUCAGUAAAUUAUAUACAAAAAACUUCAUAUAACCCACCUAGAUAUAUUAAAUAUUCGCUUUAGUCCCCUUUAGUUUUACGUUUAUCACUGAUUUAACAUAAAAAUUAUUGGAGUCAAUAAUAAAAAAAUAAAAAUAAAACCACAGGACACUAACUUAAUACACUUUAAAUCAUAGAAUACUAAAGUGAGAAAGUACGAAACCACAGAGGAGGUGACAUUUGAAGUUUACCCGGAAAAUAAAAAGGGGUGUGGAGAGG